This 1772-nucleotide unclassified non-coding RNA is filed under the name Hevea brasiliensis (rubber tree). The record is from RNAcentral. Lineage: Eukaryota; Viridiplantae; Streptophyta; Magnoliopsida; Malpighiales; Euphorbiaceae.
GGUCUGGUUUUCAACAUCCUGAAGCAGUGCUUCAUAUGUGUAUGAUAUAUUGGAUAAGAUUUAAAUAGGAACGUAACAAACAUCAAUAUAAUCACAAUACACGUGUGUUUCAGUUCUGAAUGAUAAAGUAGUCUGAACUAUGAAGUUCAAAAUGGGAAUGAAGGUUAAAGAACAUAUGAUAUCAUUGGAGUAAUGUCAUCGAUGCCUGGAUUUCUUCAAGUGUCCUUCCUUUGGUCUCUGGUACCAGCAUUGCAACGAAUACAACAACCGAGCCACAAAAGAAUGCAAACAAGAAGAAUGUUCCUGCUGCAUUCCACUCGAAUAGGAAAUUAAAAGCAUAAGAAACUAUCCAAGAAGUAAAACAGUUGAUCAAUGCCGUAAGACUUCCUGCAGAACCCUUGAUGUUUAUCGGAAGUAUCUCUGACAUGAUGAUCCAGGGUGUACCUCCCAUUCCCACUGUGAAAGAUACAGAAAAGAGCAGUAUGCCAGUGUACACCAUUGAAGAAGUUAGCUCUGCUGAUGAAUGAUAACCCUUGAAAAGAAACCCCAGUGCUACAAGCAAGCACCCUAAACAAGUCCCAGCUGAAGUAACAAGCAUAAGAAGUCGUCUCCCAGCUUUUUCUGUGAGGAUAAUACUUGCGACUGCAAAUGGAAGCUGGAGAACAGCCAUGACUUGAGAUGCGGAGUCUGCUGAACAACCAGCUGCUCUAAAAAUUGAACUGGCAAAAGAAGUUAUUGCAUUGGUCCCUCCUAACUGCACGAGAGCCAUUAGCCCGACUACAAUAAUUAGUGGACGAGCAUAUUUCCAACUGAAUAAAUCCAUAAAUGUGGAUCCUGAGUGUUGCUGAACUGUUUCAGUAAAGUCUUUUAUUUCAGCUGCUUCAGUGGAAAUAUCAGCAUUUUCUCCCCUCAGACGUUGUAGUGAUGCUUCUACCUCCUUCUCCAGACCAAUUUUCGACAACCACCGAGGAGACUCCGGUAUGAAGAAUACACCUAGCACCUGUAUAAAGCUAGGGAUAGCACCUACAAGAGCUAAAGUGCGCCAGCUCAUGUUAUUCCCAAUGUAAUACACCAGUGAGAAGCCAAGAGUCAGCGUACAUGAAGCAGCUGCUACAAAGCCCCCUCGGAUAUUUUUCGGCGUGACCUCUGAAAUGUAUAUAGGUCCCACAUAUAUUUGGAUUCCUGCACCAACUCCCGUCAGCAACCUUCCAGCAUCAAGCCACCAAACUCUCUUUCAACAAGCACAAACUCGUAAGUUGAACCAGAUAAUCAUAUUUGCUUAACACGGUUACAUGGCCUGACUGGAAGAAAUAAAGGGAGGAGGGAAAGGGUGCGCGCGCACACACACAAACGGAAAGAGAGGAGAAAAGUAAUUUCCCUGUGUAUAUGAGGUAAAAUACAUUCUCUGUACCUUGCCAAAGGUUAUUGAACACCAGCCCAUGAUAAAAAAUAAAUCCGAAAGCCACAUUGUAGUUCUCCUGCCAAAAAUAUCAGCCACCUUUCCACUUAUCAGAGCCCCAAUCAUUCCUCCAAAUAUCAUGAUUGAAGCAAAAACUGAGUAUUCUGCUAUAGAGAGUCCCAGGUCAUCCAUGACCCCUGAUUGAGCAGGUGAUGAAUAUCCAGCAGCAAAUCCAUAGGCAAAGUAACCACAGGCAGCAACUGAGGUGCUCAAAACAAGAUUUGUUGUAACAUGGAAUUGCCGACUUGCUUUUCUGAUACUAUUCUCAUCUAACAAACCAUCUUCCAUGCUGCCAGUCAUAGUAUGUUGCUAC